RNAcentral lists this ribosomal RNA (316 nucleotides) under uncultured bacterium. RNAcentral's name for it is "bacterial SSU rRNA". It matches the Rfam family "Bacterial small subunit ribosomal RNA", at positions 28 to 334 of the family's 1533-position model. The record is from RNAcentral.
GAUAAACGCUGGCGGCGCACAUAAGACAUGCAAGUCGAACGAACGAGAUUGAUUCUUUUAGUUUUAAUCAAGUUAGUGGCGGACUGGUGAGUAACGCGUGAGCAACCUACCUACAAGAGGGGAAUAACAGUUAGAAAUGACUGCUAAUACCGCAUAAGCUGAUAGAAUCGCAUGAUUUAGUCAGAAAAGGAGCAAUCCGCUUGUAGAUGGGCUCGCGUCCGAUUAGCUAGUUGGUGAGGUAAAGGCUUACCAAGGCGACGAUCGGUAGCCGGACUGAGAGGUUGAACGGCCACAUUGGGACUGAGAUACGGCCCAG